Eucalyptus grandis is the source of this 1058-nucleotide long non-coding RNA. RefSeq lists it as uncharacterized. The transcript has 6 exons. The record is from RefSeq and is a predicted model, not a curated record. Lineage: Eukaryota; Viridiplantae; Streptophyta; Magnoliopsida; Myrtales; Myrtaceae.
GUCCUUAAAGUUGAUGGAGAGAAAGCUGCUGUGUACAGGGAGGACCAAACAGUUAGCAGAUUAAGUCAUCCUGAGCUGGUUUUCUUAGGUCCAAUGCACCCAAGGGCUCUCACUACUCUUGAAUCGGCCGGCAAAUAUUCUGACGGAGCAUUCCUUUUCAAGGUGGUGAUGAGGCCAUCUCAUGUUAAGUAUGGCUUGGGAAUACCAAAGAGGUUCAAGAAAAUGCUUUUGAGAGAAUGGUGCAAUUAUUUGGCUUGUGGAAUUGGAAAAAUGUGAUGAGAUGAUUUGGCUAGCAAAGGGUUGGAACGAAUUAGCGGAGCAUCACUCUAUCUGUGAGGGUCAAUUUUUGAUCUUCUAAUCUGAAGGGGACUCCAUUUUCCAUGUCACCAUAAUUGAUGAAAGGAUGUCCGAGAUAGAAUAUCCGCCAAUCAAUGUCGAUGUGAGGAACUGAGCCUCAGCAAUUGUAGAAUUGCCUUGCUGAAAGUGGAAGGUGCUUUUGAUUGCCGUGAUGUUUCAGUCAAGCUUGAAGUCUGAGGGGAUGAAUUGCAUUCAGCCAAGUGUCCUCGGUUUUGUAUGGAAAAGGAAUUUAAUCAGGUUUGCGAAGUUCAUGGCAGCUCUUACGCACAUUCAUAAGCAAAGUUUGCAGAGGCAUAGAAGUUUGAACUGCUCAUCACAAGAUUUUCAAGGUAAGCUGAGAGAGCCGGGCUUGUGAAGAGCUUGAGCCAGCCAGCAAAUUUAUACUUGAUUAUCCUUUCUUCCAUAUUGCAGUGAGGUGAACAUAUCUGAAGAAAAGCAAUAUAAGAGUUAUCGGUUCAUUCCCGAAGAAGCACAUUAAGAAAAGCCCGCACACCGUGGCUCUCAUAUUUCCACACAAAGCAUGGCUGUUGAAGCUCAUCAGCCAUGAAAAUUAUGGAAAGUCAUCUGCUGGUUGGACCGCAUUCACGAGAGAAACUUCUUUGAAGAGUAUUCUGGAUGGAUUCAUUAAGCAACAUAUUUAGGAGAAGCAAAGAGCAACUCUUAGGCAUUCCAACAAUGAAGUUCAUUGGGAGCCAUAGACU